RNAcentral lists this ribosomal RNA (253 nucleotides) under uncultured bacterium. RNAcentral describes it as "partial 16S ribosomal RNA". It matches the Rfam family "Bacterial small subunit ribosomal RNA", at positions 524 to 776 of the family's 1533-position model. The record is from RNAcentral.
GACGAACCGAGCGAGCGUUAUUCGGAAUCACUGGGCUUAAAGGGCGCGUAGGCGGGCGAUCAAGUCAGGGGUGAAAGCCCCCAGCUCAACUGGGGAAGUGCCUUUGAUACUGGUCGUCUCGAGGGAGGUAGGGGCGUGCGGAACUUCCGGUGGAGCGGUGAAAUGCGCAGAUAUCAGGAGGAACACCGGUGGCGAAGGCGGAUCUCUGGGCCUUACCUGACGCUCAGGCGCGAAAGCUAGGGGAGCGAACUGG